Molecule: long non-coding RNA, 376 nt
Organism: Cydia amplana
Lineage: Eukaryota; Metazoa; Arthropoda; Insecta; Lepidoptera; Tortricidae
Exons: 2
Source: RefSeq, a predicted model, not a curated record
CUUAAAUCUAAAAUAGGCCCUUGAGGCAUUGUACCAAGGAUGCUGGCGACAUUUCCUCGCUGUAUCGCAAUGCUGAUACGUUGUGCGAGGUAGCCGCCAGCUCAUCGGUCACCAGUUACGUCAACCAGACGCUUCGCGAUUUCUGCGAACAACUUAUGCGCGCUGGGACCCCAUGGACCUAGAGUUUCAACUCCAAAUGACGGAACCCUUAUGGAUUCGUCAUGUCUGUCUGUCUGUCCGUCCGUAUGUCACAGCCACUUUUUUUCGAAACUAUAAGAACUAUACUGUUGAAACUUGGUAAGUUGAUGUAUUCUGUGAACCGCAUUAAGAUUUUCACACAAAAAUAGAAAAAAAAAAAACAAUAAAUUUUGGGGGU